CUGGAAUUAGCAAAAUAUAACCAUAACUUGUUGCUUGUGAAACCCCUCAUCCAAGUUUAUACUUCAUGGUCCUAAGAAUUUCGUUUACAAAUAACAAUGUUGAAUUGCAAAUUACAAAAGCAAAUGAAUUCAUUCUUAAAUAUGGUCUUAGUAAAUUCUUGAAUUAAAAUGUUCAAAAAACAGGUGUUGAAACCGAAACAACUCAAGAUUUGGUGACUAUUGGUGAUCAAUUAUAUUUUGAUUUCUUGCAAUAACGGGUUAACACAAGUAUGGUUUUGGUUGUAAGUAUUUUUCAUGUAUAUAUUCAUAAGAAAUUUAGAGUAGUAUAUUUAUCACUGACGGGUCGACAGUUAUCAUUCAGGUUUCUGUAAUAACCAUGAUUGAAAUGUGAUAAUGUUUUCUUAUCAGAUUUAUCUUAUGCCAAUACGUGGCUGGAAAUGUUAUAGUAGUAGUGAUAGAAAAUGAAAAUUUCAAAUAUAUAAUCACACUCGGCACGCCUCGGUGGAUCAUAAAAUCUAACUUUUGAUAAAGAGUACAGAUCUUUACCGAGGUUUGUCGAUUGUACAUAAUCACACUCAGCAAACCUCGGUUGAUUAUAAAAUCUAACUUUUUGAUAAAGAGUACAGACAUUUACCGAGGUUUGUCGAUUGUAUAUACGCAUUGUUGAAGACCAUCUGAGAUUUAUUAGCGCACAUAUCAUUAAAAUUCUGCUGUUCAAACUCCAUAUUUCAUUUGCAACAUGUAUAUAUGCAUUUUCAAGUAAUUACUUAGACUGAAUAUAUCUGAAAGGGUAAUUUGUGAGGUUAACUAAAUUUAUUUUUCACUUUUAAAACCCUCUCUAAAACAAACGCCUUUUACAGCUGACUAU
RNAcentral lists this long non-coding RNA (868 nucleotides) under Mytilus galloprovincialis (Mediterranean mussel). Lineage: Eukaryota; Metazoa; Mollusca; Bivalvia; Mytilida; Mytilidae. The record is from RNAcentral.